GUCAAGUGGCAAAAAUGGAAUUUUUGAUUUUUCUCUUCUAAAAUUUUAUUGCUUAUUUUGAAUUUUAAUAGAUAACUUUGAAAAAUUAAAUAAAAACAAAAAUUCACAAUGAAAAUUCAAACCAAAUGAUCGAUUAAUUCUAAAUAAAUAUGUUAAUCAUCUCGACUAAAAAACAAAAAUAAAUGGGUAAAAAAUGAAUAAAAC
This 204-nucleotide long non-coding RNA is filed under the name Lathyrus oleraceus (garden pea). RNAcentral describes it as "Pisum sativum (pea) long non-coding RNA (PSAT_LNC040367)". The record is from RNAcentral. Lineage: Eukaryota; Viridiplantae; Streptophyta; Magnoliopsida; Fabales; Fabaceae.